This 175-nucleotide ribosomal RNA is filed under the name uncultured bacterium. RNAcentral describes it as "partial 16S ribosomal RNA". It matches the Rfam family "Bacterial small subunit ribosomal RNA", at positions 1207 to 1381 of the family's 1533-position model. The record is from RNAcentral.
UCUAGGGCUACACACGUCCUACAAUGGGGUCGACAGUGGGAUGCAAAGCCGCGAGGUGGAGCCAAUCCCCCAAACGGCCUCUCAGUUCGGAUAGUAGUCUGCAACUCGACUACUUGAAGUCGGAAUCGCUAGUAAUGGCGGAUCAGCAUGCCGCCGUGAAUACGUUCCCGGGCUU